Molecule: RNase P RNA, 452 nt
Filed under: uncultured Intestinimonas sp.
Lineage: Bacteria; Bacillati; Bacillota; Clostridia; Eubacteriales
Description: Bacterial RNase P class A
Rfam family: Bacterial RNase P class A
About the family: Ribonuclease P (RNase P) is a ubiquitous endoribonuclease, found in archaea, bacteria and eukarya as well as chloroplasts and mitochondria. Its best characterised activity is the generation of mature 5'-ends of tRNAs by cleaving the 5'-leader elements of precursor-tRNAs. Cellular RNase Ps are ribonucleoproteins.
Source: RNAcentral
GUAAGCUGGACAGCCGCGUGGACAGCGCCGAAAGGCCGUUCAUGAGGAAAGUCCGGGCUCCAUAGGGCAAGGAUAACGGAUAACAUCCGCCGGGGGCGACCCUAGGAAAAGUGCAACAGAGAAAUACCGCCUCAUCCCCAAAUGGGGCCCCCGCAAAAGCGUCUGCUUUCGUGGGGAGAGGAGGCGCAGCGGAAUGCGCGAGCUUUGUCCCUUGGGACGAAGCGAGGGAUAUGAAGCUUGCGCCGACGAUGAGGUAAGGGUGGAAAGGCGAGGUAAGAGCUCACCCGAUGGCUGGAGACUGCCCAUCGCUGUAAACUCUAUCCGGAGCAACACCGUGGAGGGACAUGCGGCCGGCCCGGCCGUCCCGGGGAGGUGGCUGGAACGCGCCGGCAACGGCGCGUCUAGAUAGAUGGCUGUCUUAAAGGACAGAACCCGGCUUACAGGCUUGCUUG